Vespula vulgaris is the source of this 510-nucleotide long non-coding RNA. RefSeq lists it as uncharacterized. The record is from RefSeq and is a predicted model, not a curated record. The transcript is spliced from 2 exons. Lineage: Eukaryota; Metazoa; Arthropoda; Insecta; Hymenoptera; Vespidae.
GAGAACUUUUUAAUCAACGUUUUUAUCGCGCUAGAAGAAACGUGUGUCCCAAUCAAGCUGCGAUCUCCCUUGGCGGAGGUCAAAAUGUAAACGGGACUCUCUUCGGGUCCGCUGUCCUCUUGUUGCGAUUGCGUCUGAUGAUCGCUACCCGCCAGGCUGCCAUAUUGAGGUGCAUCUUCGCUUCGUCCCGAUGCCGAAGACGAGCUCGAGGAUAAUGGCUUCUUCGUAGACGUACCGAUCGGCAGUUGGCCCUCGGCACCAUAACCGGCCACCACGCUCGCCGUCCUACGGGACAGCGAAGCUGAUUUUUUUCUGCCAUUCGCUCGUUUCCUAUACCUACGAACGUAACUUCGAACUUUUAACAAUCAACAAUCGUAUGAAACGAUCGGAUUAUUAGCCUGACUUAUACAACACACAUAAAGCGUCUUUCUUUUUUUUCCAAACGACACCACACCAUUACGAUGAUUACCAUGAAAAAAAAAAUAAAAUAAAAUAAAUAAAUAAAGAUCA